RNAcentral lists this ribosomal RNA (495 nucleotides) under Opatrum subaratum. Its description in RNAcentral is "partial 16S ribosomal RNA". It matches the Rfam family "Archaeal large subunit ribosomal RNA", at positions 1888 to 2629 of the family's 2987-position model. Lineage: Eukaryota; Metazoa; Arthropoda; Insecta; Coleoptera; Tenebrionidae. The record is from RNAcentral.
CCGCCCUUGGUUACAAAAACAUGUCCUUUUGAUUUAUGAUUUAAGGUCAGGCCUGCCCAAUGAUUAUUUAAAUGGCCGCAGUAUAUUGACUGUGCAAAGGUAGCAUAAUCAUUAGUUUCUUAAUUAGAAGCUGGAAUGAAUGGUUUGAUGAGAAAUUAACUGUCUUAAAUUAAAUGUAUUAGAACUUUAUUUUUAAGUGAGAAAGCUUAAAUUUUUUAGAAAGACGAGAAGACCCUAUAGAGUUUGAUGUUUGUUUAAAUAAAGUAUUUAAGGUUUAUUAUUAUAUUUUAUUUUUUAUAGCAUUUUGUUGGGGUGACAUAAAAAUUUAAAUAACUUUUUAUUAUUUUAACAUUGAUGGAUGAAUUUUUGAUCCUAAUAUUUAGAUUACAAGAUAAAAUUACCUUAGGGAUAACAGCGUAAUUUCUUUUGAAAGUUCUUAUUGAUAAAGAAGUUUGCGACCUCGAUGUUGGAUUAAAAUUAAUUUUUGGUGUAGCA